UUGCUCAAAAGGAUAGUUUAUACUAUCACAGGGAAAGAAACCAUAUGGAGAAAAGGAGGUAUUUAUAAGGAGACAGUGAGGAUAAAAUGGACUUUGUGGGAAGUUGAAGCUGAGUUCCAGCUCUUAAAACAAUUAUGGCUAGAUUUAUUGGUGGGCGUGAUAGUUCUUGAUUGUACAACUCCAGUGAGAAAGAAGAUAAAUGAGGCUACAGCACCUGCAAGACAUAGAGGCAAGAUUAGCCAAGAAUUAAGAGCCUCUUCUGAGAGUCACAGACACCUCUGAAAAGCCUGGCAAGAGCUAAGUAUGUGAGGGGGCAGCGAAGACUACAGGAUGGGAAGGAAAAACAAAUGUGCUAUUUUUAGGUUGCUACUUGAUGUGAAAUCAAAUACUGAUAGUUAAGUUAUAACAUAAAAGGUCAAUCAGGAAUUUAGUGUACAAGUCUUAGCACUUACUAUCGGAC
Molecule: long non-coding RNA, 460 nt
Organism: Pan paniscus (pygmy chimpanzee)
Lineage: Eukaryota; Metazoa; Chordata; Mammalia; Primates; Hominidae
Source: Ensembl